UAAACAUUUUGAUCUUCUGUUUGUUU
This 26-nucleotide non-coding RNA is filed under the name Mus musculus (house mouse). Lineage: Eukaryota; Metazoa; Chordata; Mammalia; Rodentia; Muridae. RNAcentral also lists the same sequence under 1 other name. The record is from RNAcentral.